UUGACUUACAAAUGAGAAUCACUAUGAUUAUCACAUCCAGUCGCGAGACUGGCCGGUAACCUGAAAGGCUCCUUGGUUCGGACUCUCAGAUUAUCUCCUCAUCAGGCUAAUCACGGUUUUUGACCCGGCUUUUUGCCGGGUCUUUUUUUG
Molecule: non-coding RNA, 150 nt
Organism: Pseudomonas sp. Bc-h
Lineage: Bacteria; Pseudomonadati; Pseudomonadota; Gammaproteobacteria; Pseudomonadales; Pseudomonadaceae
Source: Rfam